UCUUCAUUUCACACACACUCUCUCACCGGUCAGAGUGACGAGAGAGAGUGUGUGAAAUGAAGAGA
RNAcentral lists this microRNA precursor (65 nucleotides) under Pristionchus pacificus. RNAcentral's name for it is "mir-8364 microRNA precursor family". It matches the Rfam family "mir-8364 microRNA precursor family". Lineage: Eukaryota; Metazoa; Nematoda; Chromadorea; Rhabditida; Neodiplogasteridae. The record is from Rfam by way of RNAcentral.